AAUGAAAGGUGAUGUCUGGGGCUCAGGUGUGUUGAGGUCCCCAUGCCUGGACUAUGGGUGCUGAGUGGGAUUUACUUGUCCAUCCAUUUUCUAUAUUCCAGCACUGGGAAACUAGGGACAGUACUUGUUCUCAAGGGAAUCUUCAGCUUAGGUGGCUCUGUAAA
Molecule: long non-coding RNA, 164 nt
Organism: Homo sapiens (human)
Lineage: Eukaryota; Metazoa; Chordata; Mammalia; Primates; Hominidae
Exons: 2
Source: RefSeq, a predicted model, not a curated record